RNAcentral lists this ribosomal RNA (414 nucleotides) under uncultured microorganism. RNAcentral describes it as "bacterial SSU rRNA". It matches the Rfam family "Archaeal small subunit ribosomal RNA", at positions 459 to 872 of the family's 1478-position model. The record is from RNAcentral.
CAGCCGCCGCAGUAAUACCGGCGGCCCGAGUGGCGGUCACUAUUAUUGGGCUUAAAGCGUCCGUAGCCGGGUUGGGAAGUCCUCCGGGAAAUCUGGCCGCUUAACGGUCAGAAUGCCGGAGGAUACUCCCAGCCUAGGGAGCGGGAGAGGCCGAGGGGAUUCCCGGGGUAGGGGGGGAAUCCUAUAAUCCCGGGAGGACCACCUGUGGCGAAGGCGCUCGGCUGGAACGCGUCCGACGGUGAGGGACGAAGGCCAGGGGAGCAAACCGGAUUAGAUACCCGGGUAGUCCUGGCUGUAAACGAUGCGGACUUUGUGUCGGACAAGCUAUGAGCUUGUCCGGUGCCGGAGGGAAACCGUUAAGUCCGCCGCCUGGGGAGUACGGCCGCAAGGCUGAAACUUAAAGGAAUUGGCGGG